UACAGAGGUCUCAAGCGUUGUUCGGAUUCACUGGGCGUAAAGGGUGCGUAGGCGGCGCGGUAAGUCGGGUGUGAAAUCUCGGAGCUUAACUCCGAAACUGCAUUCGAUACUGCCGUGCUUGAGGACUGGAGAGGAGAGUGGAAUUUACGGUGUAGCGGUGAAAUGCGUAGAUAUCGUAAGGAAGACCAGUGGCGAAGGCGGGUCUCUGGACAGUUCCUGACGCUGAGGCACGAAAGUCAGGGGAGCAAACGGG
Molecule: ribosomal RNA, 253 nt
Filed under: uncultured bacterium
Lineage: Bacteria
Description: partial 16S ribosomal RNA
Rfam family: Bacterial small subunit ribosomal RNA
Source: RNAcentral